UGAUCGGACAGGAUAACCGCUGAAGGCAUCUAAGCGGGAAGCCCCCCUCAAAACAAGGUAUCCCUGAGAGCCGAGGUAGACCACCUCGUCGAUAGGCCAGAGAUGUAAGCGUAGUAAUACGUUCAGUUGACUGGUACUAAUUGCUCGAUAGGCUUGAUUUG
RNAcentral lists this ribosomal RNA (161 nucleotides) under Sulfitobacter litoralis. RNAcentral's name for it is "partial 23S ribosomal RNA". It matches the Rfam family "Bacterial large subunit ribosomal RNA", at positions 2752 to 2925 of the family's 2925-position model. The record is from RNAcentral. Lineage: Bacteria; Pseudomonadati; Pseudomonadota; Alphaproteobacteria; Rhodobacterales; Roseobacteraceae.